AGUUUAUUUUUACUGCACAAACUCCCAGGGUGUCUAUAAUCUGAUUGAGUCCUUAGAGCUUGCAUAUUACGUCAUUACGUCGUCGGACGUCUCUGUCUGGAUAAGUGAAGUCGCCUGAGAACAAUGGCUGCCUGACUUCGGCGAAAGAAAGAAAGAAGUGGUGGACUGGAUGAAGCUGGAUGAUGGACUUUUCUAAUCAGGAUUUCUGGAGCAAGUGCUGCAGGACUUCCAGCUACUGUUUGGAGAAGAUAUUUCCUCUCAAUUUAUGGAAGUGGGGAAUUUUUCUGAACCCAGAAAUCAUCAAAGGAUCCAAGAACCUCACCAAGACACCCAUGUUGGACUCUUGAUUCCCAAACACCACUUUAUGAUACACCAAAGUCCUUUAGGCAAGUCCCUCCACUCUGCGGCCAUAUUGCAACGCAUUUUGGGCCCUUAUCGGGCAUCUAUUUCGGGCAGAACUGCGCGUGUGCAAGGCUUCACAACACCGGCCUCGCUCCAGCGGCGAGAUCACAACACAUGAUUGGUACCGUGUAUUCACAACACAUCACAUGAUUGGCACGAUGUAUUCACAUGUCGUCUUUUGGCCACGGAAGGUGUUGAGAUGUGGAUACACUACCCCAGAGCACUGUAGACAAUCACAUAAUUACGCCAGUCCAGUAAGUAUACAUGUUUUUAUAUUUUGCCAGAACUUCCUGAUGUUUAGACAUGAUUAUUUAAAUCCAUUCAUGAAUUGUAACAAUGAGGAACAAAUGUAAUGCCUUUAGUAUAUUGCUUUUUAUGAAUGUCAGCUGUAUUGUUUCAAACUAGA
Long non-coding RNA from Alosa sapidissima (American shad), 808 nucleotides. RefSeq lists it as uncharacterized. The record is from RefSeq and is a predicted model, not a curated record. The transcript has 3 exons. Lineage: Eukaryota; Metazoa; Chordata; Actinopteri; Clupeiformes; Clupeidae.